GAUGAACGCUGGCGGCGUGCUUAACACAUGCAAGUCGAACGAAGCACUUUAUUUGAUUUCCUUCGGGAUUGAUUAUUUUGUGACUGAGUGGCGGACGGGUGAGUAACGCGUGGGUAACCUGCCUUGUACAGGGGGAUAACAGUUGGAAACGGCUGCUAAUACCGCAUAAGCGCACAGCAUCGCAUGAUGCAGUGUGAAAAACUCCGGUGGUAUAAGAUGGACCCGCGUUGGAUUAGCUAGUUGGUGAGGUAACGGCCCACCAAGGCGACGAUCCAUAGCCGACCUGAGAGGGUGACCGGCCACAUUGGGACUGAGACACGGCCCAAACUCCUACGGGGGGCAGCAGUGGGGAAUAUUGCACAAUGGGCGAAAGCCUGAUGCAGCGACGCCGCGUGAGCGAAGAAGUAUUUCGGUAUGUAAAGCUCUAUCAGCAGGGAAGAUAAUGACGG
This 449-nucleotide ribosomal RNA is filed under the name uncultured bacterium. RNAcentral describes it as "bacterial SSU rRNA". It matches the Rfam family "Bacterial small subunit ribosomal RNA", at positions 28 to 457 of the family's 1533-position model. The record is from RNAcentral.